GACGAACGCUGGCGGCGUGCUUAACACAUGCAAGUCGAACGAUGAAGAAAAGAAUUGAAGCUUCGGCAGAAAUUCAUUUCGGAUUAGUGGCAGACGGGUGAGUAACGCGUGAGCAACCUACCUCUUACAAAGGGAUAGCCUCGGGAAACCGGGAUUAAUACCAUAUAACAUUGCGACGAAGCAUUUCGCUUCAAUCAAAGCUACGGCGGUAAGAGAUGGGGUCGCGUCCCAUUAACAAAGUGGUGAGGUAACGGCUCACCAUAGUAACGAUGGGUAACCGGGCUGAUAGGGUGAGCGCUCGAACUGGAAGUGAGGCACGAGCGAGACUUCUUGGGGAGGGAGCAGAAGCGAAUAUUGGCCAAUGGAGGGAACUGAAGUGCAGCGACGCCGCGUGAGGGAUGAAGGAAGGCGUAUCGUAAAACUCUGUUAUAUGGGAAGAAAAGGACUGUAACAUAGGAGAAAGCUCCGGCUAAAUACGUG
This 480-nucleotide ribosomal RNA is filed under the name uncultured bacterium. RNAcentral's name for it is "partial 16S ribosomal RNA". It matches the Rfam family "Bacterial small subunit ribosomal RNA", at positions 28 to 507 of the family's 1533-position model. The record is from RNAcentral.